CCAAUGCGGCGGGCCUAAACAUGCAGUCGAGCGAACACAUGAGGAUCUUGCGCCUCUGACGUUAGCGACGGACGGAUGGGUGACACGUGGCUGACCUACUUAUAAGACUGGAAUAACUCCGGGAGACCGGGGCUGAUGCCGGAUAAUAUGCCCAACCGCGGGGUUCUGGGAAGAUUCACGGCUUUGCUGUCUGUUAUUGAUGGACCCGCACCAUAUUAUUUGUUUGGUAAUGUAACGGCUUACCAACGAUCCCAUACUGGUCCGACCUGAUAAGGUGAUCGGCCACACUGGAACUGAGACCCGGACCCCACUCCUACGGGAGGCAGCAGAAUGGAAUCUUCCGCAAUGGACCAAGACCUGACCGAGCAACGCGUCGUGAGUGAUGAAUGUCUUCGGAUCGUAAAUCUCUGUUAUUAGGGAAGAACAAGUGCAUAAGUAACUAUGCGCACCUUGACUGUACCAAAACACAACGCCACGGUUAACUACAUGCCACCCGCCACGGUAGUACGUACGUGGCAAGCGUUAUCCUGAAUUAUUGGGCGUAAAGCGCGCGUAUGCGGUUUUUUAAAUCUGAUGUGAACGGCCACGGCUCGGCCGUGGAGGGUCAUUGGAAACUGGAAAACUUGAGUGCAGAAGAGGAAAGUGGAAUUCCAUGUGUAGCGGUGAAAUGCGCACAGAUAUGGAGGAACACCAGUGGCGAACGCGACUUUCUGGUCUGCAACUGACGCUGAUGUGCGAAAGCGUGGGGAUCAAACUAGAUUACAUACCCUGGUAGUCCACGCCGUAAACCAAUGAGUGCUAAGUGUUACGGGGUUUCCGCCCCUUAGAGCUGCAGCUAACGCAUUACGACUCGGCCUGGCGAGUACGGGGGUAAGGCUGAAACUCAUAGGAAUUGACGCGGACCCGCACUAGCGCUUGGAGCAUGUGUUUUAUUUCAAACCACCACCCAUAACUUUACUUGAUCUUGACAUCCUUUUAACAGAUCUACAAGAAAGAGUCUUCCCCUUUCAGGAGGACAAAUUGACACAGUGGUGCCAUGUCUUGUCGUCAUCCUCGUGAUCUUGAGGAUGAUGGCUCUACAUCCCACGCAACCCACCCGCUACCUCUUUAAUCCUUACU
This 1119-nucleotide ribosomal RNA is filed under the name Staphylococcus condimenti. RNAcentral's name for it is "bacterial SSU rRNA". It matches the Rfam family "Bacterial small subunit ribosomal RNA", at positions 30 to 1129 of the family's 1533-position model. The record is from RNAcentral. Lineage: Bacteria; Bacillati; Bacillota; Bacilli; Caryophanales; Staphylococcaceae.